CAAAUCAUGCUUAAACGGUUUUGUCCUUUUGUAAUUCAUUGUCAUAACAUUUUUAUAUUUUUAGCUUACCUAACCUUAGGCUUUAAGCGUUCGGUAUGUAGGUUAUUCGAGAGUUGUGCGCGCACAAAUCGUUAUCAUUAUUGACUUGAAGCGUGCUAACAAUCUGAGUUGACAAAACACUGUAGACGAAAUGACAUUCAACAGUUGCACUACAAAAAUAAAACCCCAACAAACAGCAAACCCUCCAAUCCCC
RNAcentral lists this long non-coding RNA (253 nucleotides) under Mytilus galloprovincialis (Mediterranean mussel). Lineage: Eukaryota; Metazoa; Mollusca; Bivalvia; Mytilida; Mytilidae. The record is from RNAcentral.